This 368-nucleotide ribosomal RNA is filed under the name uncultured bacterium. RNAcentral describes it as "bacterial SSU rRNA". It matches the Rfam family "Bacterial small subunit ribosomal RNA", at positions 32 to 399 of the family's 1533-position model. The record is from RNAcentral.
AAUCAACGCUGGCGGCGCGCUUAACACAUGCAAGUCGAACGAGAAAGUGGAGCAAUCCAUGAGUAAAGUGGCGUACGGGUGAGUAACACGUGGAUAAUCUACCUCUUAGUGGGGAAUAACUUUGGGAAACCGAAGCUAAUACCGCAUAAGCCUGGAAAGGGAAAGCCGCAUCUUAAUAAAUGUGGCGCUGAGAGAGGAGUCCGCGGCCGAUUAGCUAGUUGGCAGGGUAAAGCCUACCAAGGCAUUGAUCGGUAGCCGGCCUGAGAGGGCACACGGCCACACUGGCACUGAAACACGGGCCAGACUCCUACGGGAGGCAGCAGUGGGGAAUCUUGCACAAUGGGGGCAACCCUGAUGCAGCGACGCCG